UACGGGGGGGGCAAGCGUUGUUCGGAAUUACUGGGCGUAAAGGGCUCGUAGGCGGCCAACUAAGUCAGACGUGAAAUCCCCAGGCUCAACCUGGGAACUGCGUCUGAUACUGGAUGGCUUGAAUUCGGGAGAGGGAUGCAGAAUUCCAGGUGUAGCGGUGAAAUGCGUAGAUAUCAGGAGGAACACCGGUGGCGAAGGCGGUUCUCUGGGCAUUACCUGACGCUGAGGAGCGAAAGUGUGGGGAGCGAACAGG
This 253-nucleotide ribosomal RNA is filed under the name uncultured bacterium. Its description in RNAcentral is "partial 16S ribosomal RNA". It matches the Rfam family "Bacterial small subunit ribosomal RNA", at positions 524 to 776 of the family's 1533-position model. The record is from RNAcentral.